This 3815-nucleotide long non-coding RNA is filed under the name Salmo salar (Atlantic salmon). RNAcentral describes it as "lncRNA (ENSSSAG00000082506.1)". The record is from RNAcentral. Lineage: Eukaryota; Metazoa; Chordata; Actinopteri; Salmoniformes; Salmonidae.
GUACAUCAGAGUUUAUUCCAUGCAGCUAUUUGCUUUGAUUUUAUUAUUCUUCCUGGUUCCCAUUGCACUGUACACUGGAUUAUAUAGGAAAUUGACAGGAUUGGUUGAUCAUAAUGCCAUUCAAAAGGAGAAGAAGGAAGGAAGGAAGGCGGGACAAAAAAAAACCGUGUUGGGUACUUUCGAGUUGAGAAGAAUGAUUACAGCUGAAGAAGACACUGACACAGAAACACAGGGGUAAGUCACCUGUAACUUGAGGGACGGAGAGACAGAAGCACAGCGAAAGAAAGAGAGCGUAAGAAAGUGAAAGACAGAGAAAAGAGAGAGAGUCAGAAAGAGAGAAAACAUGAGUCUGAUUAACCUAUAUAUAAAUAGACCUGAUAAAAUCUCUUUAAACCUGCUUUGCUCUGAAGCCCAUUUGUUGUAGCUACCAUAGAACAGUCACUGUUCAAUCCAAGCUAUCUUCAUACUCUGGUAACAACACCAUUAAAAACAUUUAUUGUCAUGAGCCUUGAUAUAAAGGCUGUGGAAUUCAACCAUGAUACACUACGUGACCAAAAGUAUGUGGACACCUUUUCGUCGAACAUCUCAUUCCAAAAUCAUGAGAAUUAAUAUGGAGUUGGUCCCCCCCCCCCCUUUUGCUGCUAUAACAGCCUCCACUCUUCUGGGAAGGCUUUCCACUAGAUGUUGGAACAUUACUGCGGGGGACUUCCUUCCAUUCAGCCAUAAGAGCAUUAGUGAGGUCGGACACUGAUGUUGGGCGAUUAGGGCCUGGCUCGCAGUCGGCGUUCCAAUUCAUCCCAAAGGUGUUCGAUGGGGUUGAGGUCAGGGCUCUGUGAAGGCCAGUCAAGUUCUUCCACACCGAUCUCGACAAACCAUUUCUGUAUGGACCUCGCUUUGUGCACGGGGGCAUUAACAUGCUGAAACAGAAAAGAGCUUUCCCCAAACCUGCCUCGUUAAAUAAAUACAAAUAAAAUAAAAACUGUUGCCGCAAAGUUGGAAGCACAGAAUCAUCUAGAAUGUCAUUGUAUGUUUUGUAUGUUGCAGCAUUAAGAUUUCCCUUCACUGGAACUAAGAGGCUUAGCUCGACGCGUGAAAAACAAGCCCCAGACCAUUAUUCCUCCUCCACCAAACUUUACAGUUGGCAUUAUGCAUUCAGGCAAGUAGCGUUCUACUGGCAUCCGCCAAACCCAGAUAUGUCCAACGGACUGUGGUGAAGUGUGAUUCAUCACUCCAGAGAACGCUUUUCCACUGCUCCAGAGUCCAAUUGCAGCGAGUUUUACACCGCUCCAGCCGACGCUUGGCAUUGCGCAUGGUGAUCUUAGGCUUGUGUGUUGCUGCUCAGCCAUGGAAACCCAUUUCAUGAAGCUCCUGACAAACAGUUCUUGUGCUGACGUUGCUUCCAAGAGGCAGUUUGGAACUUGGUAGUGAGUGUUGCAACUGAGGACAGACAAUUUUUACGCACUUCAUCACUCGGCGGUCCCGUUCUGUGAGCUUGUGUGGCCUACCUACGAAUUUGACGAAUUGACUUAUUGGAAAGGUGGGCAUCCUGUGAUGGUGCCACAUUGAAAGUCACUAAGCUCUUCAGUACAGGCCAUUCAACUGCCAAUGUUUGUCUAUGGAGAUUGCAUGGCUGUGUGCUCGAUUUUAUACACCUGUCAGCAACGGGUCUGGCUGAAAUAGCCGAAUCCACUAAUUUGAAGGCGUGUCCACAUACUUUUAGCCAUGUAGUGUAUGUGACUUCAACAGCAAGUGUUAUAGUGAUGGCUCUAGAUAGAAUGAUGGACAGACAAUGCUGACAAACCAGGGCAGCAGGCAGGCAGCAGGCGACAUGGGUCAGCAUAGUGCUGGUUGUAGUUAAGAUACACAGUACAAAACAGGAAGGCUGGCUACUACUUCCUCCUGAAGGUUCCUAAUCAGACAGACUACUGACUAACCCUAACCCAGACUACUGACUAACCCAGACUACUGACUAACCCUAACCCAGACUACUGACUAACCCCAGACUACUGACUAACCCUAACCCAGACUACUGACUAACCCAGACUACUGACUAACCCUAACCCAGACUACUGACUAACCCAGACUACUGACUAACCCCAGACUACUGACUAACCCAGACUACUGACUAACCCUAACCCAGACUACUGACUAACCCCAGACUACUGACUAACCCUAACCCAGACUACUGACUAACCCAGACUACUGACUACUGACUAACCCCAGACUACUGACUAACCCAGACUACUGACUAACCCAGACUACUGACUACUGACUAACCCAGACUACUGACUACUAACUAACCCCAGACUACUGACUAACCCAGACUACUGACUAACCCAGACUACUGACUACUGACUAACCCCAGACUACUGACUAACCCCAGACUACUGACUAACCCCAGACUACUGACUACUGACUAACCCAGACUACUGACUAACCCAGACUACAGACUAACCCAGACUACAGACUACUGACUAACCCAGACUACUGACUAACCCAGACUACUGACUAACCCAGACUACUGACUACUGACUAACCCAGACUACUGACUACUGACUAACCCAGACUACUGACUAACCCAGACUACAGACUAACCCAGACUACAGACUACUGACUAACCCCAGGCUCAUAUCAGACAGAUGAUUAUGUUGUAAUAGAUCCAACAGAGCCGUACUAUAUGUAUACACAUGUAUAUAUGGCUCUGGUUCCCAGCAGCUGCCAAUAGACAGAUAAUACUAGAGAGAUAGCUAGGUAGAGCAGCUGCCAAUAGAGGGAUAAUACUAGAGAGAUAGUUAGGUAGAGCAGCUGCCAAUAGACAGAUAAUACUAGAGAGAUAGCUAGGUAGAGCAGCUGCCAAUAGAGGGAUAAUACUAGAGAGAUAGUUAGGUAGAGCAGCUGCCAAUAGACAGAUAAUACUAGAGAGAUAGCUAGGUAGAGCAGCUGCCAAUAGAGGGAUAAUACUAGAGAGAUAGUUAGGUAGAUCAGCUGCCAAUAGACAGAUAAUACUAGAGAGAUAGUUAGGUAGAGCAGCUGCCAAUAGAGGGAUAAUACUAGAGAGAUAGUUAGGUAGAGUAGCUGCCAAUAGAGGGAUAAUACUAGAGAGAUAGCUAGGUAGAUCAGCUGCCAAUAGACAGAUAAUACUAGAGAGAUAGUUAGGUAGAGCAGCUACCAAUAGAGGGAUAAUACUAGAGAGAUAGUUAGGUAGAGUUGCUGCCAAUAGACAGAUAAUACUAGAGAGAUAGUUAGGUAGAGCAGCUGCCAAUAGACAGAUAAUACUAGAGAGAUAGCUAGGUAGAGCAGCUGCCAAUAGAGGGAUAAUACUAGAGAGAUAGUUAGGUAGAUCAGCUGCCAAUAGACAGAUAAUACUAGAGAGAUAGUUAGGUAGAGCAGCUACCAAUAGAGGGAUUAUACUAGAGAGAUAGCUAGGUAGAGCAGCUGCCAAUAGAGGGAUAAUACUAGAGAGAUAGUUAGGUAGAGCAGCUGUCAAUAGAGGGAUAAUACUAGAGAGAUAGUUAGGUAGAGCAGCUGCCAAUAGACAGAUAAUACUAGAGAGAUAGCUAGGUAGAGCAGCUGCCAAUAGAGGGAUAAUACUAGAGAGAUAGUUAGGCUGCCAAUAGAGGGAUAAUACUAGAGAGAUAGCUAGGUUCUUCAACCGUACAUACCCAAGACUGAUCAACAAAAUGAAUUAUUUUUUAAAUCCAAAGACAUGACAUGUACAUUAAUAACACCAUUCAUCACUCAGCGUGUAAUUGUGUUUUCUGUUAAAUUAUAAUAAUAAUUGUGUUAAAGAUAACCAAUCAUUCAAAAGCUUCCUG